CGGCUCAUCACAUCCUGGGGCUGAAGUAGGUCCCAAGGGUAUGGCUGUUCGCCAUUUAAAGUGGUACGCGAGCUGGGUUUAGAACGUCGUGAGACAGUUCGGUCCCUAUCUGCCGUGGGCGUGGAAGAUUGAGAGGGGUUGCUCCUAGUACGAGAGGACCGGAGUGAACGCACCACUGGUGUUCGGGUUGUCAUGCCAAUGGCAUUGCCCGGUGUACAGCUACGUACG
RNAcentral lists this ribosomal RNA (228 nucleotides) under Serratia nematodiphila DZ0503SBS1. RNAcentral's name for it is "partial 23S ribosomal RNA". It matches the Rfam family "Bacterial large subunit ribosomal RNA", at positions 2533 to 2757 of the family's 2925-position model. Lineage: Bacteria; Pseudomonadati; Pseudomonadota; Gammaproteobacteria; Enterobacterales; Yersiniaceae. The record is from RNAcentral.